AGCAUGUGGUUUAAUUCGAAGCAACGCGAAGAACCUUACCAGGUCUUGACAUCCCGAUGCUAUUUCUAGAGAUAGAAAGUUACUUCGGUACAUCGGUGACAGGUGGUGCAUGGUUGUCGUCAGCUCGUGUCGUGAGAUGUUGGGUUAAGUCCCGCAACGAGCGCAACCCCUAUUGUUAGCUGCCAUCAUUCAGUUGGGCACUCUAGCGAGACUGCCGGUAAUAAACCGGAGGAAGGUGGGAUGACGUCAAAUCAUCAUGCCCCUUAUGACCUGGGCUACACACGUGCUACAAUGGUUGGUACAACGAGUUGCGAGUCGGUGACGGCGAGCUAAUCUCUUAAAGCCAAUCUCAGUUCGGAUUGUAGGCUGCAACUCGCCUACAUGAAGUCGGAAUCGCUAGUAAUCGCGGAUCAGCACGCCGCGGUCGAAUACGUUCCCGGGCCUU
This 445-nucleotide ribosomal RNA is filed under the name uncultured Streptococcus sp. RNAcentral describes it as "bacterial SSU rRNA". It matches the Rfam family "Bacterial small subunit ribosomal RNA", at positions 936 to 1382 of the family's 1533-position model. The record is from RNAcentral. Lineage: Bacteria; Bacillati; Bacillota; Bacilli; Lactobacillales; Streptococcaceae.